AGCUUUAGAGAGAGAGAGAGUGAUCUAGAGAGAAAUGGAGAGGAGAAGAAGAAGAAAAGGCGUAGAAAACAUCAAGCUUUCGGUAAACAAUUUAAUAUUUACUUUUAAGCAUCUUAAUGAGCAUUUAUAGAAUGAAAAUUAAUGAGGUUUAAAUUGAUGAUUUGCAUGGUUGAAUUUUAUGCCUAAACUAAGUAAUUUUAUGUGAUAAUGCAUGCUUUAUAAUCCUAUAUGAACUUGUUAAUUUACAUGUGUAAAUUUAUAUGAUUUGAUGCUCGAAAUAAAUGUUGAUAUGUGAUGCUAUUAAUGGUAGAAAAAUGAUUAAGCAUGAAAUGAUAUAUAAACAUGAGAAAUAUACAUUUAUAUUGGCAUGUAUAUUCAUAAAGUGUUUCGUUAGACUUUUUAUCUCUGAUGAGAGUGGUAUUGCGAUAUGAUUGUAGGAGUCAUCGCUGGCGAAAUACGUCCAUAGCCAUAUUUAACAUGUAGGACCACUGUCGUUGACAUGGCUGUAGUCAUGGAUCAUAUCAUGGUGUGGCAAGCCGUAAAUGUGCUAUUAGUUUGGCAAGCCACAAAUUGUUGUUAUAAAUAAAAUGAAUUGGUCAUUCCACAUGGGUAGUCGAAAACCCGUAUUGCCCUCAGUAGAUGGAAGUCGGAACGACUUUACGAAGAAUAACACGAAAGACAAUGCACAUUUAUGAUUUGUUUGAUGUUCUCUAUUACUAGCAUGAUAUAUUUGACUGACAUAACCAUGACGUGAUGG
RNAcentral lists this long non-coding RNA (757 nucleotides) under Carica papaya (papaya). RNAcentral's name for it is "long non-coding RNA (CPAP_LNC013229)". The record is from RNAcentral. Lineage: Eukaryota; Viridiplantae; Streptophyta; Magnoliopsida; Brassicales; Caricaceae.